Molecule: ribosomal RNA, 762 nt
Filed under: uncultured bacterium
Lineage: Bacteria
Description: bacterial SSU rRNA
Rfam family: Bacterial small subunit ribosomal RNA
Source: RNAcentral
UGAGGAAUAUUGCGCAAUGGACGAAAGUCUGACGCAGCCAUGCCGCGUGCAGGAAGACUGCCUUAUGGGUUGUAAACUGCUUUUAUACAGGAAGAAACUUUUCUACGUGUAGAAAACUGACGGUACUGUAUGAAUAAGGACCGGCUAACUCCGUGCCAGCAGCCGCGGUAAUACGGAGGGUCCAAGCGUUAUCCGGAUUCAUUGGGUUUAAAGGGUGCGUAGGCGGGAUGCUAAGUCAGUGGUGAAAGCCCACAGCUCAACUGUGGAACUGCCAUUGAUACUGGUAACCUAGAGUAUGAUUGAAGUGAGCGGAAUAUGGCAUGUAGCGGUGAAAUGCAUAGAGAUGCCAUAGAACACCGAUAGCGAAGGCAGCUCACUAAGUCAUAACUGACGCUGAUGCACGAAAGCGUGGGUAGCGAACAGGAUUAGAUACCCUGGUAGUCCACGCCGUAAACGAUGAUUACUCGCUGUUGGCGAUACACUGUCAGUGGCUGAGCGAAAGCAUUAAGUAAUCCACCUGGGGAGUACGAUCGCAAGAUUGAAACUCAAAGGAAUUGACGGGGGCCCGCACAAGCGGUGGAGCAUGUGGUUUAAUUCGAUGAUACGCGAGGAACCUUACCAGGGCUUAAAUGUAGAUUGACAGAUUUGGAAACAGAUUUUUCUUCGGACAAUUUACAAGGUGCUGCAUGGUUGUCGUCAGCUCGUGCUGUGAAGUGUCGGGUUAAGUCCCAUAACGAGCGCAACCCCUAUUCUUAGUUGCCA